RNAcentral lists this ribosomal RNA (503 nucleotides) under uncultured bacterium. RNAcentral's name for it is "partial 16S ribosomal RNA". It matches the Rfam family "Bacterial small subunit ribosomal RNA", at positions 30 to 523 of the family's 1533-position model. The record is from RNAcentral.
AUUGAACGCUGGCGGCAGGCUUAACACAUGCAAGUCGAGCGGGGUGAUGGUGCUUGCACUAUCACUUAGCGGCGGACGGGUGAGUAAUGCUUAGGAAUCUGCCUAUUAGUGGGGGACAACACCUCGAAAGGGAUGCUAAUACCGCAUACGUCCUACGGGAGAAAGCAGGGGAUCACUUGUGACCUUGCGCUAAUAGAUGAGCCUAAGUCGGAUUAGCUAGUUGGUGGGGUAAAGGCCUACCAAGGCGACGAUCUGUAGCGGGUCUGAGAGGAUGAUCCGCCACACUGGGACAGGGACACGGCCCAGACUCCUACGGGAGGCAGCAGUGGGGAAUAUUGGACGAUGGGGGGAACCCUGAUCCAGCCAUGCCGCGUGUGUGAAGAAGGCCUUAUGGUUGUAAAGCACUUUAAGCGAGGAGGAGGCUCUUUUGGUUAAUACCCAAGAUGAGUGGACGUUACUCGCAGAAUAAGUACCGGCUAACUCUGUGCCAGCCGCCGCCGUAA